This 925-nucleotide ribosomal RNA is filed under the name Acinetobacter sp. 88816. RNAcentral describes it as "bacterial SSU rRNA". It matches the Rfam family "Bacterial small subunit ribosomal RNA", at positions 8 to 927 of the family's 1533-position model. The record is from RNAcentral. Lineage: Bacteria; Pseudomonadati; Pseudomonadota; Gammaproteobacteria; Moraxellales; Moraxellaceae.
AGAGUUUGAUCAUGGCUCAGAUUGAACGCUGGCGGCAGGCUUAACACAUGCAAGUCGAGCGGGGGAAGGUAGCUUGCUACUGGACCUAGCGGCGGACGGGUGAGUAAUGCUUAGGAAUCUGCCUAUUAGUGGGGGACAACAUCUCGAAAGGGAUGCUAAUACCGCAUACGUCCUACGGGAGAAAGCAGGGGAUCUUCGGACCUUGCGCUAAUAGAUGAGCCUAAGUCGGAUUAGCUAGUUGGUGGGGUAAAGGCCUACCAAGGCGACGAUCUGUAGCGGGUCUGAGAGGAUGAUCCGCCACACUGGGACUGAGACACGGCCCAGACUCCUACGGGAGGCAGCAGUGGGGAAUAUUGGACAAUGGGGGGAACCCUGAUCCAGCCAUGCCGCGUGUGUGAAGAAGGCCUUAUGGUUGUAAAGCACUUUAAGCGAGGAGGAGGCUACUUUAGAUAAUACCUAGAGAUAGUGGACGUUACUCGCAGAAUAAGCACCGGCUAACUCUGUGCCAGCAGCCGCGGUAAUACAGAGGGUGCAAGCGUUAAUCGGAUUUACUGGGCGUAAAGCGCGCGUAGGCGGCUAAUUAAGUCAAAUGUGAAAUCCCCGAGCUUAACUUGGGAAUUGCAUUCGAUACUGGUUAGCUAGAGUGUGGGAGAGGAUGGUAGAAUUCCAGGUGUAGCGGUGAAAUGCGUAGAGAUCUGGAGGAAUACCGAUGGCGAAGGCAGCCAUCUGGCCUAACACUGACGCUGAGGUGCGAAAGCAUGGGGAGCAAACAGGAUUAGAUACCCUGGUAGUCCAUGCCGUAAACGAUGUCUACUAGCCGUUGGGGCCUUUGAGGCUUUAGUGGCGCAGCUAACGCGAUAAGUAGACCGCCUGGGGAGUACGGUCGCAAGACUAAAACUCAAAUGAAUUGACGGGGGCCCGCACA